This 671-nucleotide ribosomal RNA is filed under the name uncultured Stenotrophomonas sp. Its description in RNAcentral is "bacterial SSU rRNA". It matches the Rfam family "Bacterial small subunit ribosomal RNA", at positions 28 to 688 of the family's 1533-position model. The record is from RNAcentral. Lineage: Bacteria; Pseudomonadati; Pseudomonadota; Gammaproteobacteria; Lysobacterales; Lysobacteraceae.
AGUGAACGCUGGCGGUAGGCCUAACACAUGCAAGUCGAACGGCAGCACAGAGGAGCUUGCUCCUUGGGUGGCGAGUGGCGGACGGGUGAGGAAUACAUCGGAAUCUACUCUGUCGUGGGGGAUAACGUAGGGAAACUUACGCUAAUACCGCAUACGACCUACGGGUGAAAGCAGGGGAUCUUCGGACCUUGCGCGAUUGAAUGAGCCGAUGUCGGAUUAGCUAGUUGGCGGGGUAAAGGCCCACCAAGGCGACGAUCCGUAGCUGGUCUGAGAGGAUGAUCAGCCACACUGGAACUGAGACACGGUCCAGACUCCUACGGGAGGCAGCAGUGGGGAAUAUUGGACAAUGGGCGCAAGCCUGAUCCAGCCAUACCGCGUGGGUGAAGAAGGCCUUCGGGUUGUAAAGCCCUUUUGUUGGGAAAGAAAUCCAACUGGUUAAUACCCGGUUGGGAUGACGGUACCCAAAGAAUAAGCACCGGCUAACUUCGUGCCAGCAGCCGCGGUAAUACGAAGGGUGCAAGCGUUACUCGGAAUUACUGGGCGUAAAGCGUGCGUAGGUGGUUAUUUAAGUCCGUUGUGAAAGCCCUGGGCUCAACCUGGGAACUGCAGUGGAUACUGGAUGACUAGAAUGUGGUAGAGGGUAGCGGAAUUCCUGGUGUAGCAGUGAAAUG